This 23610-nucleotide long non-coding RNA is filed under the name Phoenix dactylifera (date palm). RNAcentral's name for it is "long non-coding RNA (PDAC_LNC004630)". The record is from RNAcentral. Lineage: Eukaryota; Viridiplantae; Streptophyta; Magnoliopsida; Arecales; Arecaceae.
UUGUGUUUGGUGUUGGUGAACAGCCUUUUAAGACAUGAUAUACCAUUGAAUAUGAUGAUUUGCUGUUGAGUUUUCUUCAUUUUCUACAGUAAUAAAUAGUGCAUAUUCCUUUGAAAUAUCUCUCUGUAAUUAUGUUUAAUUCUUCUAUAUUUUAAAAGAAAUGCAAAAUUUUGUCACGAGAAUAUUUUGCAUAUUAUGUAUAACUUCUUCUUUUUUGCUUGUUAUUGAUAAUGUUAAACUUGAUAAAAGUACCAACAAGGGUGAAACUGGAUGACCCAUAAAUAAGUAGAUUGAAACAACAGACACAUAGUAGGCUUGGAUGAGCCUUAUGACCAUAUAUACCAGUAAAAUGUUCUAAAUAAACGGCAGAAUUUCCAUCAUAUUUAUGAAAAGAUGUUUUUUUUAUAAAAAACUAGGUAUCAUGUUCCUUCGUCCAAUAAUCAAAAUAAUUAGUAGUGUGGUCCCUAUUCUUCAAAUCAUAUUAUCUAACAGAGUAACGCAUGAGAUGAAUAUAAAAUAGCAUCCACAUAAACCUCACUUAGAAUGCUUGAAGUUCCAGUAUAUACUUUUCCUGCGUCUCCCAUUCCUUUUGGUGCGUAUACUUUAUGCUUGUGACAUCCACUUCAUGAGCUAUUCUCUUGGACAGCUCCUGCACCGGGACAAAACAAGCAUUUCAAAAAAAGGGCUGUAGCUUAUGGAAUGGCAUUACUUUUUGGCAGAUAGAAAUAACUUGCCCCAGUGUCCUGUUUCUAGUAGAUACAUGUUCAAGGACAAGAAGAUUGCAUGCCAACAGAAACUAAUAGAACAACAGUGACACUGAAUACCACAAUCACCAAAUAUAGCUUUUAGUUAUCAAAUUGGUUCUUCCUCCAAAAAAACCAAAGAAAAAGAAAAAGCGAAAAGGCCACCAUUGUUCCCCAGUCACCCAACUGCUGCAUCAGAUGGCAUUUGCAGAGGCUGGGAAAAUAAGCACAAGCUUUAUGGUAAUCAAGGGAGGGGAAGAGAGAGAGAGCCAAGUUUUUUACCAGCUCCACUGUCAACUAAAGCACAAAAUUUGAUGGAGCUUUUAAUAUAGCCAACUAACCAAAACUAGAUUGAAGGUUCCAAUAUCAUCUGUUCUUCAGCCUCAAGCUUUGGUAGCUCAUUGAGGUCAAUGUCAAGCAACCCUUUGUUUGCCUCCUUAACACUCUCAGAUGAUGAUGGUGCAGGCGAGGGUGCCGGCGUCGACGGUGCAGCCGGCAAAAGUGGAGGAUGAUUCACAGGGCCAUUCCAGUGCCUCCUCAUGUGCCCACCAAGAGCCUGCCCUGUCGGGAACGAGGCAUGACAAAGGGUGCAUUGAUGCUCUGCGGUCGCAGCUCUCGGCACCGCACCCUUUGAAUCGACCAGCUCUUCGGCAUCGGCUUCCAUCCCAUCCAUGGCCACCACCUCCUCUGAAUUGUUCUUGUUCUUGUUGUGACUAGCUCUGUGACCCCCCAGUGCUUGGUGGGUAGAGAAAGACCUGUUGCAGCUGCUGCAGUGGUACCUUCUACCUCGAGUUGGUGGGCUUGCUUCGUUCGCCGCCGAUUCCAGAUCCUUGAUCCUCUUCUUCUUCACUUUUCUUCCGCAUGCCGACGGGCUGCUUGAUGCUUCUACGUUUCCAUCAUUGCCAGCCUCCAUUUCAUCAUCUUCAUUCCCAUUCAUAAGUUCAGAAUGCAUGGCAUCCUUCAGCUGCAGUCCUUUAGCCUUUGUGUCUUCCUCAUCCAUCUCAAUUCUGAUAUCAGCCAGUAUGGAUUUCCUGUUCCUAUGUCGAAGCCGAUCAAUUUCUCGCGGUAGAGUUGGUGUAGGCGCGAGAUCGUUGCCCCUCGAUAGCUGCAGCAGAAUCCUAGCCGCAUUGGAUUCAGGGUCGUUCGACUCGAUGAUACCUUUGCGACCUCUCUUCGCAGUCACCGACCACUUUGCAGCAGGAAACGCGAGGUCAGAUGAGGAAUCGAUGCCUCUUUGGAGCUUGUUCUUCGCUUCAGGUGGCCGAUUCGCUCCCCGGUAGCCCCUCUGAGGAUGGGAUCUCAGGUGACCAUAUAAUGCUUUCAAUGAAGGGAAGGUCUUCUUACACUCAGGACAAGUAGGAGGCUCCUCGGCGGCCAUGUUCGCAUCUUCAUUCUUGCUCUCGGAGCUCGCAGGGUCCUCGGCGACAGCUUUUUCUGGGACGUUCUCUUCUUCCAUUUUCGCAAGAAAUCCAUCAUCAUCUCCACGAUGGUGGUCUGGCGAUUCGAUAUGUUUAUCUCGAUCAUCUGCGAGCUCUCCAUUGGAGAUACGGUGAGCUCUCAUAUCACCAUCAGAAGCUCCUUCUAAGCUCCAAUCAGAGGAGAGCGCUCCACGAGCCACUUCCUCAUUCAGCUCGCAAGCCUUCUGACACUUGAAUCGAAUCCGAAGCCCGUUCUUCGCUAGCUUUUGUUUCGCGGCGACGGAUCCAUCUUCUGGCCCCAAUGCAGCAGCUUCACUCUGGUAAUAACUUCCCCCAUCCAUGGGAUGAGCUCCCAUUACUAGAGAACAGAAGAGCUGCUAAUCUAAUCUCUCGAGCAAGUCAAGGUAUGUGAACCGAAACAAAUCGAAAGCUUUAUCCCAGAAAACCUAACUCGCUCUUGAUUACAGGUAGCUUCCUCCUCUCUCUCCCUAUCAGUUUCCAAUAGCCCAAGAAACCACCACGAAUCCGAAAACAGGGCUUCUUAGAGAAGUUCUGCGGACAAUAAAUACAAUAAAAACUCCAUCUUUAGCGAUCGGCAAAACUGAAAACGAGCUUCUGAAAGAUCAUCCCGAGAGCUCAUCGUAUUCCCCUGGGACUUCAAAGGAAGAAUUCAAAACAGCAGCAACCGAGCUGAAGAAGGUCCGGAUUCCAGCUGAAACAGAGAAAAAGAAGCCACCUUUUAGUAUAAUCAAUUAUCGAAAUCAACAUGCAAAGAAACCAUCAAUUAAUCCGAGGAAAAAAAAAACGAUGGUGGAGAUUACCGGAUGAGCUCAGAACCGUCUGCAAAGAGAGGAAACGAGUGACACCCAGUAGAUUUCCCCAACCCCCCAGCUCAACGGAGCUAGCUUCCCACUAGAUUAGAUCCAGAAGGGAAUAGUUCGGAUGGAGGAGACUGAAAAGAGAUCGAAAGAGAGCAAAAACCGCCACCUAGAUUGGAAAAGACAGCUCCUUUGCUCCGAAGAAAGCGAGAUGGAUCGAAAAAAAAAGCUCGAACUUUUUCGGGCUUUUCCCCACCACCAGCAAUGAGAGAGAGAGAGAGAGAGAGAGAGAGAGAGAGAGAGAGAGAGCUNNNNNNNNNNNNNNNNNNNNGAGAGAGAGAGAGAGAGCUCUGGAGAGAGAACAGAGGAGGAGAAGAGGAGAGAAGAGGAAAGAGUGGCAAGAGGAAGAGCAAGAGAGAGGGAGGAGGGAAAGAGGAGAGAUGAUUUCGGGGAUCCCGGUAGGUCGUGGUCGAGGCUUCGACCCCACGACUCUCUCGCUGCCUCUUGCCAACAAUAAAUUGGCUCCCGCCAAUCACUCGAUUUCCUUUCGUGCGUUACCAUCGCGUGGGGUUUCGUUAAGGCAGAUAGAAACCGACUCCUUCCAAAUAUAGAUUCGUAGCCAUCAGAUCAUGGUAAUAGAUUUAGAUAGAUCCUAAAAUCCUCAAAGUUUUAUUUUAAAGAGAAUCCCUAUCAGUUAUUAUAAUUUCCAUCCAAUUUUCCUCUUUCUUUCCUCGUCAAAGCUUCCUUUUUGAAUUUUUCAACUUUGUAUGAGACUUUUUUUUCUUUUACAACCGCUCUUAUUACAUCUCCCUUGAAUUGAAACAAUCCAUGCCCGUAGAUUCGUCUCUCUGUUUGUAGCAUAUAUUUCAACAUCUGCUGGUUAGGACUAUUGCAUCAUAACCGUCGAAUUUGAUUAAUCGAUAUAGUUAUUUUUUUAGUACGGCCAAUAAAAUUUGUGCAUACCAAGAGCUGCACAUCAACAAUAUUGUAGAGUUGUAUACACUACCUUUAACUUGGUUCCUUGGCCAAGUCAGGAUUGUAUUGUGACAAUUAAGUAGAACUGUAUAGUUACGAAGUGCAUCUAGCAUGGUUUUGUUGGUGAUGUGAAUCAUGUAUCACUCUCUCUUUGAGUAACAAUGGCAUCUCUCUAGAAGGCACAUUCUACAUGUAACUGGAGCACUUUAGUCUUACCAUAUUGAAUUUGCAUGAUAAAUCUAUUUGUAGUGCACUACACAAAGAUGAUGAUGCAUUUGAGACAAUAGAUUUAUUUAUUUUUUUGUUUGCUACAAUGAAUGGUUUAUAUAUUUUUAGUAUGGAUGCAUCUAAAAGUCAAAAAAAUCAUAAGUCUCGGAGCACUCGGAGUGAUCAGCUACAUACGAGGCUACCCAAUCCAUGACUCACUAACCUUUUUAUAAAUUUGCCACCUACUUAUUAGUAUUUAUAGAGGUUCAUGCAUUCUUGCUUUUGUUUUGUUUUGGUUUGCUACAUAUUAAGCUUGCUUACAAUGCGUGAUGGAUUUUUUAAAUGUUUGCACGAUGCAAGGAGAUAUUCUUUUCCACGUAUACCUAGAUUAUGUUGGACAAACACAAAAGGGAUAUGCGUUUCUACGGAAUGGGAGCAAUCAAUGCACCCUUUUCUUUUCUUUUCUUUCCUUUUGUAGAAUAUGAAAAAAGAAUGUAGAAGACAAAAAGGCAAUAUUAUUAUGCAUGGUUCUAAAGUAUAUAUUUUUUAAUAUACUUUAAAAAAUACUGCCUAUUAGGAGCUUGUUGUAUAUAUUAAUCUUAUUUGCAUUAAUUAAUUACCAUAAAUUUUAAUGUCUAUCAGGAUGGUACUAAAGGAAUAUCGGUGGUAUUCAGGGAACCUAAUUAACAAUAGAAUGGCAUUUACAUAAUUAAAAUGCGGGAGAAUGAUCAUGGCCUUGGAGUUGACCAGGAAGUGAAAAUGGGAAUGGUACAGAUUAUAUAUAUGAUUUUAAUACAGUGUUCCAUUAUCGUGAAUGCCUAAUAGAAAGCUAUCAAACUCACCAUGGAAAAAUAGUAAACACAUAUAGGACAUAAACACCAAAUGAAAGUACUCAACUUACUCUGUGAUGUUCUACAAAUAGAUGUGUGUUUUUGGCUAGUGAGGAUCCAGUGAACCUUCGCAUCGCUUCGUAGAAUAGACACAAUACAGCGGAAUAUAUAAUAUAUAUAUACUAAUUAUCAACCCAAGAUACUUGCAUAGAUCUCAAUUUUAACAAAUAUUUUAUGCAUAAGAUAAUUAUGCUGUCAUAUAUAUAUAUAUAUAUUAUAUAAAACAUAAUAUAAUCUUUUUCUGGUUGAUUUUUUUUGUGAGAAUAUCCCUUGACUAAUAGUUGUAUAACAAUUAUUGAUGAUCAGCAUUAUUCAAAACUUUACGAUCAAGUAAUUGGUGGAUCGUAGUUGUCAUCUUGUCGACCUUUAAAUGUUUCCACUCCUAAGAUCCGAUUGUCCUCUUUAGAGUUACUACAAUCUAGUGAACCUUAUUUUCCGAAUAAUCUUUUAGUUUGACAACCUUACAUGUCUUUCUAAUGACAUUCACAUUCCAUAUUAAAGGUCAUUUUUUUUAUCACCAUCAAUAAAUUAACUUAUUACGGCACUCUUAACAUGUUUUUACUCCAUUAGAACCUAAAUGGGAGUUCUUUCUCUUUGUUAGUAUUUUUUUGGUUCCAAAUAACUUUAGUAAAUUAUUCAAUAUGUACUUUUUUUGAAGGCUGGAUUCACCACUAACAUCUUUCACAUGAAAGAAGGAUUCACCUUCCAUCGUGCGAAUCCACUAUUGGAUCGCAUAAUGGUUGCUUCGAGAUGUAUGCAAACAUAUGAAUGAAGAAGUUUGGAGUACUUCGAAAUUUGCAUGAGGCUUGAUCCAAUGGUCAACGUCAAACCACACCCAUAGAGUCCUUAACAGUUUUUGCCCCUUGAUGUAUUAAGAGCCUUCCUUUUGGCAAUAAUUUUCUACAAGGCUAGUUGUCUGAAAUUCAUGCAAUUGGCUCAUAUUGUAAAUUUUGAUAGGCUGAAAAGAUUUUUCCUUCUUUUAAUUUAAAAUCACUCUUCUGUUCAUUAGAUGUGGGCAGGAGUAUCCCCAAGGCGAUAAUUUCAUGAUCAUCAAUAUGUGAUGCGCUUGACCAAAAAUAAUAGGUUAGAUAGACCUUAUACAAAUGUAUUAAACUGCACCAAAAAGAUUUACACAGCCACCAUCUGGGUACAACAUUAGCAAAAAUGAAAAUUAGUAUAUAUAGCAACUAUUAUUCUUGGUUUAUUAAUAUGUUAUAGAAAAUAUUUUUCAAAGUAACCAUGUAAAGUUAUAUGAUUUUAUCUAAGGGUUAAAUUAUUAACUCGCCAUUGAGAUUUGCAGCUAGGAUAAUGAAACCCACAGCCACUUCCUUAUCACUUUGUGGGAGAAUUAUGUUCUUACCUAUUUCCCAGAUCGUACUUUAACUUUGACUUGAUUUUUACCGCCCUCAUCGAGUGAAUCAACUUCCAAGGAUACCCGCUUGAAGUUGUGUUGACUGUGGAAUCUCCAUAAAUGCCUAAACUCUAUGAAAAUAAGAUAAUUCUACUAAAUUAUAGAAAUUUUAAUUCCACCAAACUAUAGAAUUAAACACUCCCAUCAAAAAUUUCCAUUCCUGAAUUCAUGUUAUUGGUGCAAAUGAACCUCCCACCUAAAGAUCCAUUUUUUUUUGUUAUAUAAAAAUCUUCUCUUUUUUUUUUUGGUAUAACGGCGGCUGACACACAAUGAGCGUGGAUGCGACUAGCAAAAUCAGAAAACAAAAAACUAUAUAAAGGUCCUGGUACAACCUCACUAUCCAUUCAUACAAAGUCUCCAGAGUAGUGAGCCAUAAAAGUCCUUCAAGGAUGAUGAUGUGAAGAAGAUAUAGUCACAAAGCAUGCUGAUGCACAUAACCACCCAAAAUCCCCUCCAAAUUGAUGGUUUGAAAUAAUCUAAUUAAACCCCUUGGCAGCAUUUCUACGUGCAUGUUAUUUUUCUUUUAGGAAAAAAAAAUAUCGAAAAGCCUUUUUUUUCCCUUAAUUUUCUAAUAAGGCACAAUGACCUUCAUAAAAUUAGAAAUGAAUGGUGAGGUUCCUUUACAAUGCAAUUGAUUUCGGCGAAGGGAUUUUUUUUUUUUUUUGACAUGAAAGGGAGGCAAAAACCAACCAUGAUUUAUUGAGAUAGAUGGAAGUAGAGGAUAAAUCUCUUAUGGGAAGGGAAUAUUUCUGAGGAAGGGAACAUCUAAAUGGCUUUUAGAUUGUAAACUUCCAAGAAUAAUAACCAAGCAUCAGGUUGGAACUUUCCCAUCUUUUUUUUCUUCUCUUUUUCUUUGAUCCUUUGGACUGUUUUUCUAACACUGACCGGCGGACCAAACUUAGCUGCCAAGAUAUCUUUGGAUCACCGAUAAUGACCAUAUAGAUUACUUAGUCAACUUAAUUUUUAUUUAAUAUUUUAGAGUUCUCCUACCUUUGUCAUCAUAGCUGUGAGGUUAAUACUUUUCUUAGGCUUUGACCGUUCCUAUUCGUCCCAUCGAUCCCACCCACUUCCGUAUUAAAAUUGAUUGGUAGCCUACGACUCACUAAAUUCCCCAAAUUCCUCGCGGUUGCAACUCAAGGAUGUGCUCGAUUCUACCAUGCAGCAAUAAAAAAUUGGUUGGAACCGUCAAUAUACGCGUCAAAGAUAUCAACCAUCAUGUCAUGAUAAAUCCACAAUGGCCCAGUCUAAAGUUAAACAUGGAGCAAGAAGAUUAGAUCGACUCAUUUUUGAAUGGGAAGCAAUCCAAAAUUAAUCUGGUCUAACCCAACUCAAGAUUAUUGUCAUUAGGAUUGGAAAAUACGAUCUGUUUCGAAUAUGAAUUAGAUUUGGAUCCUUAAAUUCUCAGUCCAAACCUAAAUUGUCGCAAACUGAUUCAAAACUACUAUAUUAUAUAUUUCAAAAUCCUUCUUGAACAUAUCUAUAUAUAUAUAAUAGUCUUUUUAUCAUGAUAUGAAAUAUCGGUAGCUUAUAAUGUUGACUAUAUUUUUUUAAAAAAAAUCUUUUGGCCUCUUCUUUUUUGAUGCACCACGAUAUAAUAAUCGCUCAUAUAUCUCUAGUAGCUAGUCGUCUAGAAAAUGCAUCACGUGAUCCACACAUGAUAAAUUAAAAAUAAUUUUUAUAUUAAAAUAUUGUCGUUACUUAAGAAAAGAGAAAAAGAAAAAGAUGAAGUUGCUGAUUGAAUAUUGAGUCUGUCCUACCAUCUUAACUUCUUCAUUCGUUACUGUAAUACUCUAUCUAUCACAUUGCAUUGUAUUAGAUAAAUUAUCCCCACCAUUAUCAAUAUCACCAUCACCAUCUGUUGGGGAAAAAAUGGAUUGCUCAAGACACAUGGAUAUAUCGUCGGCACGUGAUGGCGAGCACGACAGUGGCAACCCUUAAGGCGCCCGACCAAGAGACGCCCGACCUCAGCGCGCCCGACCACAGAGCUUGCAGCCUUAAUCUCGGUUAAGCUGAGCCCGAUCGACCUCAAGCUCAAAGGAGAUCCAGUCAAAGGACGAAGCAGACCCCUCCACUCCACUGAAAAUCAAGUCCCCCUCCUCCUUAUCCGGGGUCCAAUCUCGCGAUCUCCGCCCCAGCGACUAUCAACGAUUAAAUGCGCACGAUCUCAAUGGACCUCCAGCCAGCCCAAAAUCUCGGACCAUCCACGGCAACUCAUUAAGUCAUACGAUCACGUCCAAUCAUUACGGUAACUCAUUAAUUCACACAGUCACGUCACAGGUAACCCAUACACCCCUCUUAUAAAAAGGAGAGACUUCUUCCUUCUGGGGAGAGAUCUUUUUUUUCGUAACCUCUCUACUGGUUCCACCAAAAAAACCCCUCUGACUUAAGCAUCGGAGGGUCGGCGCCAGAACUCCCGACCAUCGGCUUCUUGCAGGUUCCCCGAAGAAAGCUGUCCACCGCCGCACCCCCUGCCGGAGCUCCUCCUUCUUAGUCCGCGGUUACCCCCGAGUCAAGUUUCCAGCAACACCAUCCAUGUCAAAACUAAUCAAACUGGCAAUCCAAACUUGCCUCCAUCCAACAAAUAAGGAAAUAACCAAGCAGUUGGCGAGCUAGUGUAAUUCUUUCCAGGCCGCCCAUAUGUACCGGGAGACGAAUAGGGCGGCCGACUAGGUGGCCACCUAUGCCGCUCAGCACACCGAGGAGAUCCUUUGGACACGGGAGUUGGAUGCUUCUUCACCCUUGAGCAGUUUUCUUUUUUUUAAUUGUGCUGGUUAUACUCAUGCGAAAUUAAUGUGAGUUGCCGAUGUACCAAAAAAAAAAACGAACAAGCAAAUAAUCAAACAAGAAAAUAUCACCAGUAGCAUCGCAUUGGCCUGUCGCGCUUGCAACAUUGCCACCUCACCCUGCAACAAAGGAUAUGAGCUCAAUCUCAUAGUUCUGGUGCUCCAUAGGGUGCUGACCAUAUCCUCAGCCUGGCAAGCAUGAUAUGAGGACAGUCAUAUAGCCAUCGAGUUGAUCGCAAACCAACUUAGAUUGAUGUCAUUUUGCUAGAAAAUCCAUUUUUCCAUUUAUUGAAUAAGGAUCAAAACCCUACUUCCUUGGUGGCCUCUAAUUUCUUGAUGUUGGAGAGCGAAGGUGGAAGAAGAGACCCUAGCAAGCUAGAAUCGAAAUGAAGAAAAGGAAGAGCAUAGAUUAUGGAAAUAGAGAGAUUAUUUUUACCGUAAUUUUUAUUAAGGGAUAUUUUAGUCUUUGAAUGAAGAGGUUGAUGGACGCCAGUGUCAUAGUACACCAAAAAAUGAAGAUCAGAAAUUAAAUUGUAACUUUUAUAAACAAAGAAGGGUCAUGCGAAAAUGAUAAAAAUUGAGGCGGUCAAAAAGUAUUUUUCAUUGUAACCAUGUGUGAUUAUUAAUUUAAUCCUAUGUAAAAUAUAUUUUCAAUAACGUUUAGAUGUGUUAACUAUUAUCUUAUUGCAUGACAUGUUUCCAAUAUGAUUAGAUACCUGAUAUUAUAUGUUUACUAUAACUAGUGUUUGAAUUAUUUUUGACUCGAUUUGAUCCAAAAAAUCCGAUAGACUGAUAACAUCAAUUAUAGAAUUCAUCCGAUUCGAUCUCUAAGAAAAUCAGAUUAAAUUUGUAAUUUUUUUUAUUCAAUGCGAAUAUGAAGUGAAUUUGGAUUGUGCCUAUCCUCGAUCCAGUCCCGAGAUAGAGACAAAGCAUAUACGAAAAUUGAAAUGGCUGAAAAGGAGAGCCAACUAUAGGCUAAUAAAUGUACCUCUUUUUUUUUUUUUUUGUAGAAAAAAGGGGAAGAGGGGGGAAGGGCAAGCCCACCCCGCAUAGCAGCCCCACACUGGGCCCCCACCCCGCCAGGAGCAUGUUCGAUGCGGGCAGAAUGACCGUUUGGUAUAGGCCCAGCUCACCAGACCCCAGCCAUAUUUUACUCAUACCCUCCCCACCCGUGGCCCCGGCUCAGUUACCCCACUGGGCCCUGGCACGAGUAUCCCGUGUGAGUACGUCACACCUGGCACCACCCAGGCUACCAGCCGACCAGUAGCACUUCCAGACCCCGUGUCCAGGCGCGGGGCAUCCGGUCCCCAGAUUUAAUCGACGCCCGUGCGUUUCGAACCUGGAACCACUUGGUUAGAAGCAAACGCCCCGUUCCAACUGGGCUACCAUCUUGGUGGUAAUGUACCUUCUUCUCGCAAUAGCUUUUUAGACUUGGUUGAUAUGAAUUGCGAGAUGAUGAUAGCUUAGCUGAAAAUGUGACUCAACGUGGAAAAAUUGUAAUAGUUGGGACAAAGAAAAUAGCUUUGUUUUACGAGCAUGGAAGACCCAUAGAUUUUUUUUUUUCUUCUCUCUUAUUUCAGAAGAGGGAUGGGAUUUCAUCGAGAAAAUGAAGGAAAUAUAAAUUAUCCUGGUAGGAGACAGGUAAAAGCAAAAUCUAUGCAUGAAAAGAUUCAAUACGAAAGAAGAGGUGAUUGAACUAAAAGGCAAAACCGUUCCCUAAAAGAACCAAUAUCUCCUAGGACCAGAAAAUAUAGAUAGAUGGCUGAGCCAAUGAGCCAUAAAAAAUGGGAUGCAAAGUAACUACUCUCCAAAUCUUAUUUUAAGUUACUCUUUGAUUAUUGUGUUUUAUGUUUGAAUGUAUAUAUAGUUUUUCCUUAAUAAACUAAAUGUUUGGCUGAAAUUAAGGGAAGGUUUGGUAAGCUGAAAGAAGAAAAUUGAGAAGGAAAUUAAGAAAGACAUGUACUGCCGUCUUCAACGGCAUGCCUAUCCUUUAAAAUAGGAUAUUGAAUUCUAAACAUAUGAUUUCGAGUAUCCUGAUCAUUUGGAGACUUAUUAAUCUCAAACUUUCCAAGUGAGAAGGAUUUUUCCUUGAACCAUUUAGGGCAUGUUCGGCUUCUUGGGAAACAUCUUGGGAAGCUAAAGAAUUUGUAAAAUCCAAAUUUUCUAACCUGUUUAGAUGGUGCCGAGGCUAUAAUAAAAUGGAAAUAAAUUUUCUAGAUAUGGCUAGAUUUGUUUUCUUUUCUAAACAAUUUUUCCUUUCCCAUGGUUUUGUAAACAACCAACAUAUCUUUACUUAUUCUCAAUAAGUUUUCCUUUGAAGGGAUAUUCUACAUAUUUGCAGUAUCACUGUAUAUUUCAUAGGAAACCAUGGAGGACAACAUAUGUUUUACUCCAUGACCUCAUUCAAAAUCAUGAGCGCUUUGGCUGCAUUUGGUUCGCGAUUAGAAUCGGAAUCGAAAUAUAUUGAAAUAAAAAUAGAAUGGCCAUAUUCCCUGAUGCAUUUGGUUUGUGAUUGGAAUCGAAAUUGGAUUGCAAUCAAAAAUUAAUUAAAUAGAGAGGCAUUUUUGAAAAAUUAAUUAAAUGGAGGAAUAUUUUUGAAAAAUUAUUUUUUUAGUAAUAUAGUCGGGAUUGGAUUUUGGAGGAUUAGGACAUUCUCAUUCCAAUGGGAAUAAGAUUGGAGGAUUAGAGGAUAGGGUUGGAGGAUUAGGGCAUACUCAUUCCCUCCUAAAACGAAGUAUUAGAGUCUAGCAUAUCUAACAUAUGGCUUCCAAAAGAAAGCGGACUUCAGUAUGUACACAUGCUAGGAUCAAGUAUAGAUAAAUUCACUAGAUAACUUAUAACAGCAUCCAAACAGCCUUUUAAUUCACUCCAAGGGUAUGUUUGGUUCACGAUUGGAAUUGGAAUAUGAGUGGAUUGAAAUGGAAAUUGGAGUAGCCAUAUUUUCUAAUAUACUUGGUUCUAGAAUUGAAACCAAAAUUGGAAUGACGAUUAGGGCAUUUUUGGAAUAUCAAUUAAAUGAAAAGCUAUUUUUGAAAAAUUAAUUUUUAAAACAAACAUGACGAAUUGAAAUUUGAAUAAUGGCAAGAAAAUAGGAGUUAGAUUUUGGAGGAUUGGAGCAUUUCCAUUCUCCCCUGGAAUGGGAAUGGAAAUAGACCCCCUAGAAUGAGAAUGGAAAUGGAACUUCCUCUAACCAAAUAGCUCGAGUGAGAGCCAUUGAUUUCCAUAUUUUCAUUUUAGAGGCCAACUCUCUCCAACCAAACAUAUUCUAAUUGUAAAUCCACACACAACUCCUAACUCUCUACAGAACCAACGGCUCGUAGAUGGGAAAAUAAAAGGCACUUCAGGUGCAACACCUAAGAGCAACAAGGAUGUUUACUUCGAGUUCUUAAAGAAGUCGAAGGAGUUCGUUUCAUUUUUUAUUUGUAAAUUUAUGAUAUCUACACUCUAAUAUAAGUAAAAAUACUGAAUAAGAUGAUUUAGUUCUAUCUCCACAUAAGACUAACUAAUAAUGAUGAUAAUAUUUUGGACUAUUGAAUCGAGUUUUAAAUUAAAUUCCUUUAUUUGAUCAAAGUUAUCUUAAGCUGGUCCUACAACAAUCAAAUUCAAGUCUCACCUACGAGUUUGGAGUGAACCACAAUCCUGAAUCAUUUAGCUUAGGUCAAAAUAGGUGAAGUCCAUUGCGCAAAUCCUGUUUGAAUGUCCGAGGGCGGCCCAGGUGUGGCGGCUAGUUGGAGUUGAUUGGUAUUUCCUAUAGAUGUUGACCCCUGUCAGAGCUUUCUUUGCUCAUCUGAAGGGUACCUUGCAAUGACCCACAACUUUUGCCUGGAGCAUUAGAACCGUCUAUGUUGCUUACCAUAUUUGGCUGAAUAGGAAUGUUAGAGUUUUGAGGAUAGAAGGUUGAAUCUAAGGAUUGUUGUUGACAAGGCGCUUCUCCAUGCAACCGAGAUCAUUUAGACUCAGAACGUUGUAGAAUUUGGGAUUGCAAGGGAUAUAUGGGUCUUCCAUUUAGCUCUCUCAGCGAUCCAGAUGAUUUUUAUCUCCUAGGAGCCCCCAUCCCUGAGCUUUCUUAAGGUAAACUUAGAUGGUAGUGUGUUUGAUGAUGGAAGAAGAGGCGGUGCUGGUUUUGUGAUUAGGAACCCUAACUCCAAAUUUAUGGUGGCCGGAGGUAGUCGAAUCUACGACACUUCUGUCCAUGGAGUUGAGCUAAGGGACGCUUCAAAACGCAUCACCCAUGCAAGGUUCACCUUGGGGGCAAAUCACAUUCAUCUCGAAGAGGAUUUAGCUACGGUGAUUAAGUGAAUCCAGGGCCAGUCUAGGGGCGACAAACACUUGCUAAUAUAGGAUAUUUGCUGGUUAUUGAGGGAUUGUGUUGCCUCCCGAGUUACCCAUAUAUACUCGGAGGCUAAUAGGGUAACUGAUUGAGUUGCUUCAUGUGAUGACCCGUGUGGGCGUGUAUUUAGUUUCAUAUUGGUUAUUCACUGGAUAAAUUUUGGGUACUUAUAUAGGAUCAAGAAACCUAAAUAAUACAUUUUGGCUAGCCUUUUUGGGUGAGAUGCUAGGUUGUAACAAAUGGUAUCACAACAGACUCAGCCUAUGGCCUAUGUGGAUUAGAGGACACUGCAGCACGAGUAUAUUUGCGUUGACCAUAAGUUGAUCGUAGUGUUUGUGAUUGGAUUUGAAUGGAUUUGGAUUCUUAGCCUAAGGAGGAUGUCAAAGCUUAAAUAGGGGAGUAUGUGAUGACCCAUGCCGGGGUGUGUUUAAUCUCAUAUUUGUUAUUUGUUGGUUCGAUCUUGAGUACUUAUACAGGAUCAGAAAACCUAAAUAAUACCUUUCGGCUAACCUUUUUAGGUGAGGUCAUGAGUUGUGACAUUUCAUAUGUAGCCAGCACUCCGGUGUCUUCAUGUAAACAGUUAUGAGACUUCCCCUCCCCCCCCCCCCCGUAUUCUCUUUUCUGACUUUCUUAGAUGUAUGCAUACUGGAAUUGUAUGAUUUAUCUAGUUUAUCAAAAAAAGAUAAAAGCUCUUGGUUGGUUGUAAUAUUAGAAGCAUGUGAAGUACAGUAAGGUAUUAAUCCACAACAUUAAGAUCCAAACAAGCUUAGGAAAAUGCUCUGAUGAAGAGACUGUGUGCACUAAGUUCAUCAGACAUGCGUCGGGAUGGUUUUUACCAACGCAUAAAAGCGUCGCUAAUGCCCAAUUUUAUUGUAGUGCUAUUGCUGGCUUGGCAAAUUCAAAUAUCCUCCAUGCAUCACACUAUUUCCAGUGAGUGACCUCCAAGUCCCCCUUACCACCUGAGGAUAGGAAUUUUUAACAUGAUCCAUAGUGAUCGACCAGUGAACCCCAUGGUUUCAGCUGAAGAAGACUCCACAUCCACUCCAAAGGCUGCACUUGGGAUCAGCAGGGUCAGGGACAGUGGAACCUUAUCCUAGGGUUCCAACGAGGUCAAAUCCUCACAAGUCAAAUCCACGGAUUUCUAUGGUAUGGAAUUAAGUUGGGUUUACCGUAACAGCCGCCAGUAUUAUCCAUUUCCAUGCAACGAGAACAAAUGGGUCCUUGGAGUAAGUUUGAACAACCAUCACUCACCGCCGGCUUCUCACGACUAGUUUUAGUAAAAGUGUAAAACCCCACAAGCCAGGCCACACGUUUCUUUCAAAUCCCAUGUACCGUUACAAGUUCUCUAUUUCCACUUCGUUAGCAUAUGCUUUACGUUACUACACAUCCUAGAAAUAACAUCAAGUAAAAUAAACCCAACCUUUUAAAACACUUCAAGACUGCAGCCAUUCAUUAAACGAUAGACAUGUCAAAAGACUAGUGUGGCUAAGCAUGUGGAGAGAGACAUCCAUGCUUCGGAAUAUUCGGACUAUGAUGAGUGAUGGUACAGUCUUUCAGGCUAAGCGUGUGCUCGGAAGGGCUAAUAGAACCGCAAACUGGAUAGGGCCAGAAAGUGAAGCUGCCUACAGCACUCCGAGAUUUGUUGUUUUUUGAUUUUUAUUGAGUGUAUCCAUAAACUAUAUAAACCAUCUGUUUUAGAAAGAAAAAAAAAUGACGACUAGUGUGCCUAUGAAGCUCAUACCUCAGCCUCUGAGUCCAUAGAAGCUAUGCUAAAGGUGUGUUCUAGUGGGAGAUCCAUUCAGUUUUCUUUUGGGUUGCCGAAGGUGAUUCAUAUGGUUCAUGCCCUUCUAAUGUUUUGCUAAUGGAAUCAACUGCAAGCAUGUUUUUGAGUUCUAGCACUUUUGCCUUCUAUAGUGUUAAAGAGUUAAAGAUGGAAAAAGAACCCUUCCACUAGGUAUCAACCAUGCAUGUUGCCAGUCUCGGUGCCCAAUGUGCAGCACUAUUUUGAGUCCCUGUCACCAGGAAAAUCCUAGGUAUGCCUUUUUCCUUCAAUAUUGUAAGAUGCUUUGCUCCACCAAUGGUUGAAGUCUGUUUAGGUAGGGAUCUUUUUACCACACACUCAAUUAACCACAUGAGAAGAAGAAGCAACUUCUGUGGUGGGAUGGCCUUACAAGUGAAGCAUGUGUACAGAAAGACCACUAGAGCAGCGAAUUGAGUGGCCUCGUAUGUGGCCAACCACUCCAGGGAUACUCUUUAGAUUGGGGAGAGAGAGUUGUCUGGUGCACUUCGGGACUUGUUAUUUUUUUGACUUUUUUGGCUGUAUCCAUACUCGUGUUGUAUGAUACAUCUGGUUUAGCCAAAAAAAAAAAAAGAAGAAGCGACUAGGAUCGAAGCAUCUUUUCCUUCUCUUUUAGAGAAAGCAGGUCACCUAGUCAGGCAAGUAAUUAGGUUGCAGAAACAUGGGAAGCCUUAAUACUCCUGCCACAAGCCCAUAAAUCCAGUCAUAUCUCAUGGUCACAUCCUCACUAGCUUCUUAUACUUAUUAUUGGUCGAAGUUAUACAUUGAUUCUUAGCUAACCAAGAAAACGAGGGGGGGAAAUUAUUGUAACUCAAGCAAAUUUAUGUAAUAUGUAGAGAUGGAUGACUAUGUUGGCCCAAGAAACUUCUGUAACAAUAGAUGCCUCGAAGCAUUUCCAAAAAAAUUAAGUGAUACUUCGAUUAAAUCAAAUUCAUAAAAUCACAACAAAGUCCAGAUUACAAGCACGAGAAAUUGGAAUACCAAGAGAGUGCCAUUAAUGAAUGCUACGAGUCACUUGAUAAGAAUAAAUGCCCUGAUUAUCUCCAAUGACUUAUCGGCUGUGAAGGGAUUAGACUUCCACAUAUUUGUUUGUGACAACAUUGGCUUCCCCUCAUGCAUGACUAAAAGAAAUCUCUGCCAUUAACACAAUGGCAGAAGAACUGAUGCCGCAUAUAAUCUCAUUAAUGGUGGAGAUGGAGAUUCGUAAGUGAUUUGUUUGUUUUUUUUUUUUUGAAAAUUUCAUAUAAAUAUAUUUGGCACUCAAAACAUCUAAUUAGUUAUAGUUAAAUAACCAACAAAAGCAAAACAUGUCAGUGAUUAAUAAUGAUGGAGUCAUGUUCAUAGAUGCCUUAGGAGCAUAUUCCAGCAUUUGCAAUCAUGGUAUUUGGUAAAUAAUGCAUAAUUUGCAAACAACUUGAGCACCACACGAGAUUGCACCUUGAAUUCAAUUUCCAACAUACUGAUCAAUGGAUCUUGCGCAUGGAUAUUACGACACAAUUCAGAUGGAAAUUUAAGUUGGCAUUCCCAACAUUCAGAACAGUGAAACAUCCCACUACUCUUACCAGUGUUUAAAACCAUAUCAUUAACCAUGUUUUUACUAAAGCUAUAACAAAGAAAGUUUGCUUGUAACAUUCCUUGGGAUCAAUUUUAGCACUGCGAUAGUAACCUGUGGUUUCCCGUAAAGAUUACUAGCAUAAGACCGAGAUCGAGCAGAAUUUUAUCUCUUAAAUUAACCUAUUAGCACAUUAAUAAUUCAUCCGACCAUUGUCAUAUUAUUCGAUGCAGGAGCUAAACAGGUCCUAAGGUAUCAUAAUUAGGUUUUCCUAGCCAGCAAACAGAUACAUGACACCAUCUUCAGGAAAAUAAUUAGCAAUCAGGCAGCACCAUCAAAUAUUCCAGUGCCCAUGCUUAACAAGGCCUUUUAAUUUUAUAAAUUCAGAGUUUGGAUGCAGAGAAACCUGCCUCACGUGUUGAUAGUUCCACGGAGGACUCAAAACCUACCACAAAGUACCAUAACAUUAGGCUCCAUCCAACGUCAAUAUAUAAAACCAAGCAUGCUAUGACAUUUUAAACUAGCACUAGCACUUAGUCUGGUUUUAGACUUUUAGUCCUUGGAAACAAAAAGUUCUACCUGCUGCGUUUGCAAGCAGCAAGCCAUCAGCCCAUGGCAUACUUCUGAGUCCAUGCUCUGGCUGUCUCCUCGUAACGGGAUCUCUGAUUCUUGUAAAUAUGGGCAAUCUCAGGGACAAGAGGGUCGUCUGGGUUCGGGUCAGUGAGAAGAGAGCAGAUGGAAAGGAGAACCUUUGAAAUGGUCAGAGCAGGGCUCCACUGUUCCUUGAGGAUGUCGAGGCAUAUGCUGCCAUUGGAGUUGAUGUUUGGGUGGUAAACCUGCUCAGAUAGAUGAAGGCCCAUCAUCCAUAUUUGUGAAAGCAGUUCAUAUUUCUUCAGAUAACAGGAAGCAGAUUUCAGUGAUCAAUCAGCAUACAUGUUGCUAAUUAUACAAAUAAUACAAAUGGAAGAAUUCUUUGAAGGCACAAAUUUAUUAGCCUGAUGUAGAUAUGUUGUAUCGGUAGGAACAAAAGAUGUAGUGACUGACUUGCAAGUUUUUUUAGUACAAGAGCAUAAUCAUCUAUACGAUUAAGAAAAUAUAAGCCACGACAGCAAAUCAGCAAUUUGAAUGUUCUAAAGUGGAAUGAGGCCAUCAUUUAUACAUUUUGGCAAAAAGAAUUAAUUCCUAAAAUACAUUAUAAUAUUCAAGGGUGGACCAAGAAAAUUCUUGGCUAAAACCUAGUAACAAGGAAAAUCAAGAUCAUCCAUGUCAUACUAGAGUAGUUCAAAGACGAACAAUAUUUAAAAGCAUGCAGAUCUAAUCAGCUCCAUGCUCCCUUGGAAAAUCACCUCAAAGAUAUAAUACUACAUUAAACAUUUAAAGGCCGUCUUCAGAAAAUCCUGUUUUAUGAACUAUUUUUAAUCUAGUAGGAAAAAGGAACUUUGUACAACCCAAACUGAAUGCUCUGUUCUCUCAGACAUGGAAGAGCUCAAAAAAGUAUAUGAAACUCUUGUUACAACAGAGAUCCAAAAUUAGACCCAAGAUGCAAGGCAUGUAGUUCUGUAUAAUAUGCUAGCAGAAGUAAAUACCUAAAAUGUGAAAUAUGAAAAGGGAAGCAUGCCUCUAGAGCAUUAGCAAGGUAAGCCUCCAGCACAUUAUUUACUUUUAUCAUUUUAUUUGGUAACUACCUGUAUGCAGAGCAUAAGAUUCCAAUAAAAACUAUCUUAAAUAAUAAAAUUCAACCACCGCCAACAAGUUCUAAAACUAAAUUAACUUAUUAAGAAAAAAGUCUUUAAUAAUUUUGAAUUUCACUAUUUGAUAUAAUAAAAAUUAGUACCAACGCCACCUCUAUCCCAUGCCAGUAGUUUCCUGAAUCAGAAAGCUAGCAAUAUAGUUUGCACUUCUAUAAUCUACUGAGAUUCCGAGGGAAAGCACAUGUACAAAUAAUAUCUGGAAUCAAGCAUCAUCUUUAGAAACAAAAAAUGUUAUGGAAAAUCAAAAAUGAUAUGAGGUUUUCUUACCUUAGUCUGAAAGUUGACCUUUGGAGGCUUAAAUGGAUAGUCAGGUGGGAAAUGAAUCAUAACAAAGAACACUCCUCCAGCAUAGGGGCUCUCUGCAGGACCCAUGAUUGUUGCUUGCCAGUGGAACAGAUCCUCCCCAGCAGGCCCUGCACUGCAUGAUGUUGGAGGAUCUCUUUGCAGAUCCUGAAGCUCCUUCUGAAUACGUUUGUUAGCCAUAAUGCCUCCUAAUUCAAAUAUAGGGAAUAACAACAAUAAGAAAUAACUUUCGAGGUUAUAACUACAGGGAUAAAACUGCAAACAUACACAGAAUUCCCAGUUCCAGUAUAUGACUCCAAGAACAAUGCUAGCUAGAAUAACACCACUCUCAUACAGAAAAGAUACACAGUGGAGAUGCGACUGUCAUGUCGCUAUUCCUGGCAUCCUGUAAGAUAUUGGGUACUGGUUGCCAGUGAAGGACAAAAUGAAAAGUUGUGCAUCAACCAUGCAAGUUUUCUGUAAGAGAUUUCUGUCUUAAUGAAGCAUUUCCAAUGAUGUCACAGUGAGUAAACACACAUGUUGCACAUCAGAAAUAAACCACAUCCAAAAGAAACCAUGACUGAAGCCAAUGAACAAUGAAUUAGAUCAGACUGUGUCUAAAUAGAAUAUAUAAUCAAUUCAUAACUAAAAGUGAUAAGUGUAUUUUUUUCUUUAAAAGAAAGUGUUGAUAUUAAACAGAAGCUCUGCCAUACAAAUUUUCUACUGAUACUUGGGAGAAGUUCACAAGAUAUACAGCAUAGGCGACCCGUAAUUGUUAACCAGUCUCUAAGGAUGACUGAAUAGUUAACAAUUUCCCUUCACGAUAAAUCUAAAUAAAAGAAUCAAAUAAAUAAAUAAAUACAAUCAUAAAAAGGAGGAAAGGGGGGAAAAUGAAUGAUGGUAGACUGUAGAUUGCCAAAACUUUAUCAAUUUUGAAACAAGGAAACUUCACUAGAUUUACUUAAGGACAGUCAGCCACAUAUGAUGAACACAUCAACUAAACCAUAUAGAAUGUCCUAAGAUAGCAAUAAUUAUUUCACAGACUACAAUCAUUUGUCAUGUCCAGAAUUAACAUGCAUUCUCCCCUUAAUUCAAGUGAGGAAGAGCCUCAGUGCCCCACCAAUAACCAGCCAUAAUAAUUUCGUAUAAAGAAGAAAGACCCCCAGGGUAACCACAUAACUUCCCUGAUCUACCCUAACUUAAAAUAUGGACCAAUAUGCCAAAUCAGUUAUUAUGGCACACUAAAUGGAACCAUUCAAACAAGCAUAAAUCAAUGAUUUUAUACAUAUUAACAACUCCUGAAAGCAGUAAGAUUCACAAAAACUCCACAGGAACUGAAUAUCAGCAAAUUCCCCCAAUUAUUCACUUUGGCUUGCCCUUCUCUGUCCAAUUUAACCUCUGAAAAUUGGUUUUAUAGACGAUUUAAUUAGACUGCCUCAUAAGGGAAGAGCAAGGCACCAACAAGGGUCUUGAAGUUGAAGCAUUAGAAACCUUUACCUAGUUGUCUUCUUCAGCAUAAAGCUAAUAUGGUGGCCUUGUGGAGGUACAUGUAUUGUGCCUUUCAAAAUGCAGACCACCCUACUCAUCAAUCAUUUGAGGUCAGCCCAAUACACAAUGGGUUGCAGAAUUACAAUCAAUGUAAUAACUUGAAGCCAGACCCUAUAAGAAGACAGGCCUAAAUCACGGACCUGAAUGAACUUCUAAAUGUUGCUAUCUAAUGCUGUUAAGAAAUCAGCCCUGAUGAUAUAUAUGGGAUGCAUAUAGUAAAAUAUGGGUGAUCAAAAAAUUUAAUGCAAAGGAAAUAACUAAACUAAUAUGUUCAUGCUGCUGAACUGCUGAGAUCAGAUAUUCUGGUGGUAAAAAAAUAAAAACUCUAACCAUAAAAUAUUCAAAGAUAAGCCCAAGAUAAAGACUACACCACAGUAAACAGAGGCCAUAGCGGUGUAACCCUGAUGGAUGUUAGAAAUGAAGUUUGAUCUGAUUCAUGUGCAAUCUUAGAGCUCUUCUCUCAGCUGCUAGCUUGAAACAUGCUCAGAUCAUUGUCAGAUCUGAUAAACACCAAUAAUAAUGCUGUUGUUUGUCAGCAAGAAAGUAACAAAAUUAAUGAAAGAGGAAGAGAAAGAGACAAAGAUACCAUAAGAAAAAGGAGAACAAUCUAAGAAAUCAGAAGAACAAGAGGAAGUUUACUACUUUAGUUAGGACUAGAACCUAAACAAGCAGGCCAAUAGAGCCUGAUAAUAGGCUUGAGGCCCUGUUUGGAAUUGCUAUUGGAAGUAGAACUUCAAGCAGUAGAAUUUUUAACAAAAAGUUGUUCGUUGUUUAAUAACUACAUUUCUAGAGUGUAGUGAAACUUAUACAUCUGUUUGGUAACUAAAUUGAAAAUGUACUUUUAGUAUGACGAAAUUAACAAUAAAGGGGACUACAUAGUAUUUUAUAUUAUAGUAUAAUAUAAAUAUAAUAUAGUAAUAUAUUAUUACAUAGUAUAAUAUUAUUAUAAUGUAAUAUAUUAUUAUAAUGUAAUAUAUUAUUAUAAUAUUAUGUAAUAUAAUAUUAUAAUAAUAUUAUGUGAUUAUAAUAUAAUAUAAUGUAAUGUAAUUAUGUGAUUUGUUCAGUGAUUUGUUUAUGGGCAUUUUGUUCCCUACAAAAUUUUAAUUAAAUGAAAAAUAACUUCCCAACAUCAGCCAAGUAGAGCUAUUGGAGAACCAAAAGGCACUUCUCUCUCUCUCUCNNNNNNNNNNNNNNNNNNNNCUCUCUCUCUCUCUCUCUCUCUCUCUCUCUCUCUCUCUCUCUCUCUCUUAACAAACACCACCUAUUCCCUGAAAGUACUUUCUACCUUCCAAAAAACACUUUCCAGCCCUCAAAAGAUGUUCCCAAUCAGGGCCAAAGUGAUUAUAACUUCUAACCUACUAACACCAUCUAAUGAGGAAAUAGCAUAAGACCAAGCAACACCUAAAACCCUGGCCAUAUUUUUGAAUAGUAAAGGCCAGACAUAACACCCCCUUUUAAUGGCCUUCUGCUGCUCCUAACUGCACCACCUAGCCAAGACCUCUCUGAUGCACUAGUAAUUUUAGCACCUCUUCACUAAUCUGCAGAUCCUCUCAAGUCAUGAGUUAGGCUUAGGGUUUUGAUAGUCAAGUAAUGGUUUAAGUUUUAUGUAGGCAAACAGAUGGAUCCCAAGCUCAUCUACCAGGUCAUAUUAGGAGAUUCUGAAGGUCUUGAUAAGCAUUAGGGUUUUCUAGGCAGAAGUUAAUGAGGGUUUCAAGCUUGAAAAACAAAUGAUGAUGGGUUUGGAAUCAAACAACAGCUGUACUGACAUGGAAAACAAACCACCUGCUGAUAACAGAUCCAUACUUAGCUGCAAUGGAUGGAGUGAUGUGAGCAACAGACCAGCUUGCUGAUCGAAGAUCUGUACUUAGUUGUAGACUAGUCACGAUUAGUAAGCUGAGGACUCUAUAAAGAGCUGAGUAUUGAGAUAGACAUGUUUAUAGACAAUUAAGAGAUUGAUUUGAGCAUCAGAAAGGCCCUAUAGGGGCUGCUUGAAGAGCAGAUCAAGCCAGUAUAAUCAAAUCUGAGCUAAGUUGGACCAGAAACCCUUAUUCAGACUGGUGGCUGCUUCCGAUAGUUGAGGCUAUAUACAUGUAGAACUUAAAGCAGAUUUACGCCGGUUGGGUGCAGAAAAGAGAAAAAGAAUAGAAAAUAUUCUAAGAAGGGGAGGAAGAAAGAAGACUUGCUCCAGACUCCCCAUCUUCAUAAAGCCCCUAAGUUGGUUCAAACUUGAAAUUAAUUUCCAAGGAAUCAAAACAUUAAAGAAAGUAAUAUGUAGCCUCUUCAUAACAAAUACAAAGGUCAACUCAUCCCAACAACUUUGUCAAUAUUCAUCCAACAUCUUUAAUAUGUCCCGAAAUCAUGGCAGACUCCAUGAGGACUACUACAGCUAAUUGAUAUGACCUGAAUAUGUGGUGGACUCUACAAGUCCUACUGCAGCAUAUUGACAUGCCCUAUCUCCCUUGGCAACCAUGACAUUCAAUAUGAACCUGCUAGCAUGGUCACUUUAUAGUCCAAUUUCAUGAUAUAGUCACCUGCAAUAAGACCUGUAUUACACCUACUAUUAACGACAAAAUGCAAUUUCCCCAGUUGCUUGGAACGGAAGAUCUAGUCAUCGAGCCUCUGUUGGUUUUGAUUCAACUGACACUGACAUAUUUUAAGCCAUCAAUCGACAUCCAUUUUCUACAUGCUAAGCCUGCUGCCCUUUACUUCAUUAUCAUCCCACCCAUCUUUCUUCAAAAUUCUGAAGAACUAGAAGUUCUUAGCACAGAUAAAAGCACAGAAUCCCAAUACGCUAUUAAGGACACCCACUUAUAACCAAAAGCUGAUCAUGCUUGAGUAAAUCUUUUCAAUUCCAUCACAACAAUAAUUACAAAGAAGGAACAGGCAAAAGAAUCCCAAAUCGCUAUACCCAGUACUCAUAAUAAUAUAUCACCAAAAUACAUAUAUAUUUGCAUCAAAAAUAGCCGAAUCUAACUUAGUCACGAAAUACAUAUAGAUUUAAGCAGAAAAAAAGUCUGAAUAAUAUAUAACACGAAGAGUUGGACAUCUGGAAUCAAAAGCCGACCCGAAUCACAAAAUCGACCGCUUAAAUCGAAGAUCGAAGG